CUAGAUCUACAUGAAUAAUAUCUGACAAAGGGACCAUUGUCCAUAACCCCCAACACAAUGGAUCACUUAAUAUCUUCUAAUAAACUUUGCCUAGUAUGUAUGUCCAUACUUGCAUUGCAUCUGAACUCUGAAGGAUUAUAACAACCAGGUUCCUGCAGAUCAAAUAGGAUCAUGUAAGAAUCAAGAAGUUGAAUGAAUCUUACAGAGAAUUAUGUACCUACAUACCUCUUACAAAAGUAAAAAGAUAACAAUAUAUGCAAAAUUCAUAUGGUCAAGAAGUUCCUGUAAGCUAGAUAAAUAAAAAUGGUUCUCUAUGUGACUCAGGAUGCCCAAAGGUUUUUAUUACAUGUUAGAAGCUAAGGCUUAUCUUAGGCUGUGAAGCUCCUAUAAGCAAAAGUAAAUUCAAAUUGGUAACACAGAUGAUUAAUUAAGCGAUGUAAACAGACACACUUUUAGUGUAUCAGCAAGAAAUAUAAUUCCUACUAUAGAGUGUUCACUUAAGUUGAGACUACACACAAUCAUUUUAGUAUAUAUGAACAAUUUCUUUAUUUAGCCAAGAGACUUGUAAUUUGUGCUUUAAUAAUUAGUUAUAACCGAAGAGAUCUCUGUAAACUUAAACAUGGAACGAAAGGGAAAAAAAAUAAACCAAUUAUAAAUGUUUUGGUCUAACAGAUUUUUUUGUGCAAUCUAUGAAGUCAACUUUUGCUGUGGGCGAAUUUUGACGCAAGAAGUCCACUAUCCCAUCAGGUACUGGUGGAGACGGUUCCGAUCCUGAUGCAUAUGCUUUUUUUAUCCUGGUAGCUUCUUUCUUUGACUUCACUGUCUUUAACUUGUACUCGCAUAGUGUCAAGCGAAGUCCAUACAAAAUUUCAUCAAUUUCCACUUUCAUUGACUUCAACUUACCCAAGGAACGGUGUUUAUGCUUUAACAGAUCAGGAAAUAAGCAGAGAACCUAAGUAACGAGGGAUGCAGGAGGAUUAGUAAUGCAAGUCAACGGAUUUUUUAUUAAGUUUUAGAAGAAAAUAAAAAUGUAUCUUAAGACAAAGAAGUAAAAAUAGCCUCAAAACAUGAUAUAUAAGCUCUGCAAGAAUGACACCUUUGAUUCAAGGCAUGUCCGGUGUCAAACACCAACAUAGACACAAGUAUUACAUUCAAUUCAAUUAAUUCAUUUUCUCAAAUUAUCAUCUAUGUCGGUGUCAGUGCUUUAUAGUAUAUAAGUUAAAGUACCUGAAGAGCAGUUGCAGUGACUGUCAAUGAUUUUAUAUCAGCAAACUCUAGGAGCCAGCUGUAUAGAAACAGAGGAGGUGCCUCAGUAUCUGAAUGUAUUUCUGCAUGGAUAUCUACAUGUUUAAGAGAAGAAAUAUUGCUCCCAAUGAUUCUCUGAUAAGGAGUACCAUUAAAAGUAAACGCACAAAGACUUGGAGUGCAUAGCUCAAUCAUGUAAAAGUCUUCCGAGUGAUUGUACAUCGUAAAAUUAACAAGCGUCGCACUUGAUAUACAAAGUUUACCUUUCACGGUACAAUCAGAAAUGAGCAAACUACUCAACCUACUAAAGUUAGAAAAUGGUUCAGCGCAAUUGUUACCACUGACACAAAACGUAAAGUGCCCUAGUUGCAAGCUAGUUAACGCCGGUAAAUCAAGAGAAUCCGGAAACAGAUUUGAAUAACCAGAAAGCAUUAGAUGUGUUAAUGCAGGCAAACUAAGAGAGUUUAGGAACUGAGUUUUAAGAUUUCUAUCCCUUUGCGCAACAGAAAGCUGUAGAUGUGUUAAUGCAGGCAAACUGAAUGAGUUUGGGAACUCUGUUUCACUAUGUCUAUCACGUUGCACAAUAGAAAGCUCAAGAUGUGUUAAAGGCUGAAAUGAAAAUAGGCUAUGAGGAAUUUGCGCAAUGUCACAAUUGACACAAAGUUGUAACCGCUGGACAUUGUGUGAAAUAGCGUAAUUCACAAUCUUUUUAAGUUGAGGCUCAAAGCGGCCAUUAUGACGCUGAAAAUCAAGAGACUGAAGUGAGAUAGAGGAAUCACGAAGAGAUAAAAUCUUAGACACGAAUGUGGUGAAUAUCUUGAAAUUACGAAAGUCUCUAUUAUGCAAUGUAAGAGCAGGAAGACGUUUCCAAAGAUCUUUAUAUAUUGGGGAUAAAACACAAGUUUGAACAGCAUGUUUGGUGUUCAGAAAGGAGAGAAUGUGAAGGAUAACACUUUCGGGCAAGUCACUGAGUCUAUCUUCAUUUUCACACUCGCUGCUGAGCUUAACUUUCUUCGUCAGCUGCGGCGGAAUCGUUAUCUCAUCCGCUGAAUUAGACAUUUGGAUAUAUACCUAGUAAUCAUAAAAGGUUGAAACUGUUAAAUGUGCUUCGAUCUCAUCCCAAAAGCUAGCAACGUAGGUCAAAUAACAAACUACAAACAAUUUUAAAACCAACUUCAACACCCACCCCUCACGGCUAGCUUGGGCCUGAGUCCAAUUCCCAUAUUACAAUAUUGGCUUAAUUGCACUUUUGGACCCCUAUCUUUCUAAAAGUUGCGGUUAUGGCCCCCUAACUAAUUUAAAUACAAAACAGCCCUCUAUGUUUUGAUUCUUUGGCAGUUUUGGACCUCAGUCCAUUAGUGAGGUGCCGCAUGUAUUAUUUAGGGGGCCACAUGGCACCUCACUAAUGAACUGGGGGUCCAAAACUGCCAAAGAAUCAAAACAUAGGGGGCUGUUUUGUAUUUAAAUUAGUUAGGGGCCAUAACCGCAACUUUUGGAAAGAUAGGGGUCCAAAAGUGCAAUUAAGCCUACAAUAUUUAACCUGGCUCUGAAUGGGCUUGAAUCUUAUCCCAAAAGUUAGCUCAAAAGAUGAACUCAAAUGGGAACCUGAGCAAUGUAGGAUAAAUAACAAACUACAAACAACUUUAAAACCAACUUCAACAUUUUCCAAACCUAUUUAACAUGUAUCAAAGCUGUGUUAAGGAUUGCAUUGCAGGAAUUAGACCCAGGCGCACGCUAGGAGUGAGGGUGGAUGUUGAAGUUAGUUUUAAAGUUGUUUGUAGUUUGUUAUUUGUCUUUGCUCAGGUUCCGGAUUGUAGAGUGUAUAAAUAUGAUUGACUGCCCUCAUCAUUUUACCCUCAUCAUUUGAAGUAACUAUUUUGGGAUGAGAUCAAAGCUCAUUCAGAAACAAAACGGCAUUAUUUUGUGCAAUAAAAGUAAUUGAGGAAUUUCUUCAGCUAAAUUUGAACGGAGAAAAAAUGGUAGAAAUAAGAAAUACCUUAGAGUUGUGAUUGAGAUUAUGAAUCUGAGUAGAAGUAAGAGUGGAAUGAAUGAAUGAAUCUAGAACGAUGGGAGUAUACAACGGAGGCGAUGGAUCUCAAUAGUUAACUUCUUCACGUUUUCUAGGGUUUGUUUAUCCUUUAGGCUAUGUUUGGAUUGAUGGGUUGUAGUGGAAUAGAAUGGAAUGAGAUGGUAUAUAAUAAAAUUCCAUUGUUUGGAUUGAUGGGAUGGAAUGGAAUGCAAUGAAACCAAUUCCAUUCUAUACCACUCAAUCCUUCAAUUUCUUAUUCCCCCCAAUUUGGGAGGUAUCCAAUGAAAUGAAAUUUGUGUCUUGAAAUUUUACUAUUCUACCCUCCUUUUAUUUGCCUCUUCCUCUACUCAAUCACAAUUUUCAACACGUUCUUUUCUCUAUUUCUACUGACUGCAUUUCACUUUCAUCUUCUUUGUACUGCUGACUGCUCUUCUUCUUCUCCUGUCUUCUCAUUUCUACGAUUUUGCUUCACAAGGUACCUCAUUUCUACCCCAUUUAUUUUUUCACCGUAUGCUUCUAUGCAUGUUUAGUUAUGUGUAUCAAAUUUUAUUUGUCACGUGAUCUUUUCAUUUUUAUUAUGUGUAUCAUAACAUCAAUCCUUUGUGAGCCAUUUAUUUUGUGAACUAGCGUCAAAAUUUUCAUUUAUUUUAGGUGAUCGUGAUAAAUUUAUACACUUGCUCUGUUUGGGUAUCCUAUGAUUUUGUCAUUUUUGGUAGUGUGGAGUAUCUCUAUGUAGAUAGUUGAUGAAUGUAAAAUAGAGGGUGUGUUCUUUUUAUUUGUUUAUUCUAGUUUCUUAUAUAUGGCAUAUGCAUGUCAUUUGAUUUUUUUUCCUGGAACUGAGAUUAUGUCUAUAUGCUAGUUGUAUAAAGUAACCAUCAUUAGAACAGUGGAGACUUGUGAGAUUUUGUCUAUAUAUGUUUUUUUUUGCUUAGUUAUUUGUGGUACUGGGUUUUUGUCUAUAUAUGAUUCUUUGCUUUGUUAUUUGUGGUACUGAGUUUUUGUCUAUAUGUGAUUUUUUUUUUUUUUUUUUUUGCUUUGUUAUAGAUGACUAAUGAAGACAUGAGAACAAAACAUUUGAAAUUGCUUCAAAUGAUGAUUGUUCAAGUAUCCAUCAUUAUAGUUCUAAUAUUUCGCCUAAAAAACAAGUCUAGAUCUCAAAUACCCUCUAGAAUCAUAGAGCAUAGAGAGAAAGUUAGGAACGAACUAAUGAAACAUAUAAUAGGUAGUGACCGAUGUUAUGAUAUAAUUCGUAUGAGUCCCAAAGCUUUCGUAAACUUGUGCACCUUAUUACGAGAUCACGGUGGGCUUACACAUACACGAAGAGCAUCUAUCGAGGAACAAGUAGCCAAAUUUCUUCACACAGUCGGACAUAACGUCAGAAAUCGUGUGUUGUCCUUCUUCUUUAGACGCUCAGGUGAAACAAUUAGUCGUCAUUUUCAUAGAGUAUUAGAUGCUUUGAUAGAAUUGGAAGACAAAUUUUUGAAACAACCUGAUGGAACACAAGUGCCUCCAGAGAUACGUAACAACAAUAGGUUCUACCCAUAUUUCAAGGUAAGAAUAAGUUUGUCUUACACUUCGAUAAGUUAUGUUAUACACUUUUAAUGGGAUAAUUGAAUGCCAGGAUUGUAUCGGAGCAAUUGACUGUACACAUAUACGUGUCAAAGUUCCAACAGAACUUGCACCUAGAUACCGUGGUAGAAAAGAUUACCCUACACAAAAUGUACUCGCUGCGUGCACAUUUGACUUGAAAUUUACAUAUGUCUUGGUUGGAUGGGAAGGAACAGCAUCAGACUCAAGAAUAGUAAAGAGUGCUUUGACACGUCGGUAUCCUCUUAAAGUCCCGCAAGGUAACGAAAAAAUACAAAAGCUUUUUAUAAGUAUGUAGCUUAUCCAAACUAAUAGACUCAUUAUUUUCUAUAGGAAAAUAUUAUCUUGCUGAUGCGGGGUUUCCUUUAAAGGCAUGUCUCAUCACACCUUAUAGGGGAGAACGUUACCACUUACAAGAAUAUUCUAGAAAUCCACCUCGAAACCCUCGCGAGUUGUUCAACAAUCGACAUUCAUCGUUAAGAAUGUCUAUUGAAUGUGCAUUUGGAGUGUUGAAGAAGAGAUUUCCAAUUCUGCAAACUUCAACUGAACCCACAUUUGGAAUUAAAACUCAAAAUAAAAUCAUUGUUGCUUGUUGCAUCUUACACAAUUAUUUGAUGACUGAAGACCCUAACCAGAAUCUAAUAGACGAGGUGCGUCACGAGCUCACAAAUGAAAGCGGUUUGCAAGAGGGACAUCAAGCUCAAAGAGAAAACAAUGAUGAUACAGCUAGAGGAGAGCUAGUUAGAGCUGAUGUUACUGGUUCAAUGUGGAUAGCUUACUAAAAAAGUGUUUGAAGGCCUCUCUUUCAAAUAUGGAGUGUUCUUAGGCUAUUUAGGCUAGUUUAUUGGUGUUUGUUUUGAUGUUUUGGGCUUAUGUUUUGAAGCUUAACGUGUUGCCAUUUGUUUGAGUAUGAAAACUGACACUUUGUUGAUACUAAUGUGAACUUGGGGAAUCUGUUUGCAAUCUGAAUCUUAAUUUUUAGUGCUUGGAAUCUUCAUAUUUCAACUUGUGCUUGAGUUUGUAAUUUGUGCUUGAAUUAUUAUAUAUGUCGUUUGUUUUUUUUAAUAUUAGAUAUGGAAGAAAGUUCAAAGAGGCCAAGGAAAUGCAAAGGUCCUGAUACUUGUAAUUGGACUUUAGCUAUGGAUGAGGUAUUGAUUGAUGCAUAUUUGCAUCAACAUACUCUGGGAAAUAAAAAUGGUAACAGUCUGACAUCAUUUGCAAUGGAUAGUAUUUUUCAAGAGCUGAAAACUCACUUUCCAGACAAGCCAAUUACUAAAGACAAGAUUAAAGAUCACAUGAAAAAUAUCAAAGCAAAGUUCAAUCCUUGUUAUGAUGUUUUCAAGAAUGGUCUGAGUGGGUUUGCAUGGAAUGCAGAGACAAAUAUGUGGAUUGCUGAAGAUGAAGUCUGGGAAAGUCUAAUUAAGGUAUUAUUUACUUCAACUGAAGUAUUUUUUUUUAUCAAGUGUACAUGAUAAGUUUUUUUUUUUUAUGUAACACUUUGUUUAAUUUACGAAAUUGUAGACAAAACCCGUAGCUGCUGAGUGGAAAAAUAAGCCUAUUAUGUUUUAUGAUAAACUAGCAACUCUUUUUGGGAAAGAUCGAGCAACAGGAGAUGAUGAAGAUACAGGAUUUGAAAUGAGAGCAAAAAAAGCUGCUAGUGCUAAAAAAAAUUACGGUCCAACCAUUGAGGAUAUAGACCAUUUGGUUGAAACCAAUGAAGUUACUUUGGAGGGAUUUGAAGUUGAUGAAGAAUUUGAUCCCAAUGGUUCUCCUAAAAGACCUUCUAUUAGGAAGCCUCAAGAUGUACCAUCAUCUAGGAAUAAGAAACGUGCAAGAAAGGUGGAUGAAGAUGAGACAAGCAUGAGCGAAAUUGCUAAGACUUUUAAGAAAAUGGCUGAGAUGUUUGAACUGAACACUGCAGAGUUGGUCAAACAGAAUAAGAGUUCUAGUGCUGAAGAUGUUUGGGCUAACUUGGUCGAGAUUGGUGUUGAAGAAGCUUCCUUGCCUUGUGUCUACAUGCACCUUGUUCAACAUCCAGAAGCAUUGAAAGCUUUUAAUGGAAUUCCAGUUGAUAAGCGUAAGGAAAUGUUACCUUACAUUGUGCCGAACUAUCCUUGAAGAAGAGUAUUAUGAUCUGCAGUGAACCCAUGCUUUACUUAUUUUGUUAUUAACAGCUAAUGUUGGUUGAAAAGAAACUCUUUUGUUUGUUAGCUUUUUGAGAGGUUUAAAAAGCCAUUUUUGUAGAAGCAAGAAAAGCUUGUUUUGGUGGGAAAAAAAAAAGACAAGCACUGUUAUUUUGUUCUGUUUGGGUUCUAACAUUACUCAUGCAAGUACAUGUUAAUUAUCAACUAUUGCAUUUUGACAGGAUAAUGUUUCUUGUCUAUGAUGUUUUCUUUAUUAGUCUAUGAUGUUUCUUAGUCUAUGAUUUUUCUCGUUACAUUCUCGUUACAUUCAGUCAGUGAUAUUAGCCAUUGUUUGAUACAUAUAUGAAUAAAUAAUCAUAAUAUGGAACUUAUUUUAUAAGGGUAAAAAUGGAAAAAAAUAUUGUAACUUAUUUUAUUCCAUCCAUUAUCUAAACAAUGGAGUGGGAACCUUGUUCUAUUAAAUUGUAAAAUAUCCAAACAAUGGAAUGGAAUCCAUAUUCCAUUCCGUUCCGUUCCGUUCCAUUCCAUUCCAUUCCGCUCAUUUAAAUACCGUUCCGUUCCACUCUCUUCCAUCAAUCCAAACAGAGCCUAUUUUUUAUUUUGAGUAGAAAGGAGAGAAAAGGUUUUAGCGGAGAAAAUUAAAUCCACAAAUCCGAUAUCAAGCCGUAAAAGAUAUCAAAAACUUUAAUAUAGUGUCACUAAAUUUUUGAUAGAUAAAUGAUUUUUUUUUUUUACAAAAAAAAAAAAAAAGAUGUUCAUUUAUUCAAAUUGAUAAACUACAUUACAUCAAAUACAGACAUCGCUAAAGACGUAAAGAUGAAUCUACGAACAAACUCACAUCAUCCAAGUUAAUAGCAUACAACUGCAAAAUGCCUACAAAUAAUAUGAUAAAAUCUAAGUAACUGAAAUUCUUAUGCUUCCAGAUAAUAUGAUAAAAUCUAAGUUACUGAAAUUCUUAUGCUUCCAGAUCUGUAACGUUGACUCCCAAAUCAUUGAUGUAACUUGUAAUUGACCGAUGUCGAUCUUUCAAUAGGAACUAAACAAACAUCGCGACAAGACGCGAAAUCAAAUGCCACACAAGACGACUAAGAACACAACACCGCAAUUAGACGACGAAAUCACAAAAAACACAAAAGAAAAAACUCGAUAUAUUUGAAAAUCACUUAUUUAAAUUGAAAGAAAAGAGGAAAGAAGAUGUAGAGGAAAGAAAAGAGGAAAGGAAGUUUAGAGAGAAGUUGGAGUUUCUCUCACUAAAAAACUAGGGCCGGCUAUUUGGUUUGUUUUUUUUAUCCCGUUGAGUUAAUAGAUAAAUGAUAUUUGUAUAAUCAUUCUCUCUCAUAUUAGUAUUAUGUUUUUAUUCUACUUUUCUUUGUAAAUUUAUCGUGUAUUUCAAAAAUUGUCACGCAAAUGAUUAUUUAAACAAUACACCCUCUUCUCAAUAAUUAUUACCAUUUAGUCUAUCUAUCUAAACAAGUUGAAAGAAAUUAGAUUGUCCACAUCGCUUAACUUUUUUUUUUAAACAACAAAUUUUAUUAAGCAACACCCGCACAAGAUGCACAGAGUAAGCAAAGCAACAACAAUACACAAGGUAUCGUAAAUAUGCGGAACACGGACGCCUCAAUCCAACAAUCCACAAAACAGAAGCCUACCCCCUAAGUUCUUACCCAUAAAAGACAAUCUUUCAGGUCCCAACAUCAUUCAUAAAACAUACGAGAAGGGAUGUUCCACCUCGUUAAGCUCCACCUCCUAGAUAAAAUCUUCAUUUCUUCCACAAUACAAUCCGAUUCACUCACCACAUUUUUGAAGAUUAUACGUUUCUAACUUUCCAUAACAUCCAAAUUGUUGCAUGUCAAAGAAGACGAUAACCUUUACAAACCCUCUCAUUGAAAGUUAGGUCACUCCAACACUGCCAAUGAUAAAAAGAGAUUUGACAGUGUAAUUAAAUUACCUUUGGAGCCACCCCAUAAGAUGAUCCCAAACAUUCCUCCCAAUUCCACAUCACUUAGCUAUUAUUUAUUUUGAGUGCUUUAGUAAAUGUAUUUGUCACACAAACAUUUUAUAAUUUAUUUAGAAUUGUUAUUUAAUAAACAUCUAAUCUAUGCAACAUGAAAGCUCGUUUUUUUUUUAACAAAACAGGUGUCAAAAAUAACUCUUCAUUCUUUAUUUAAACACAAAUAAUUAAGUGGAAUUCGUGAAAAGUGUUUUCUGGAUCAUCAUUCUCACCUAAUAUUUUACUCUACAAGAGAUGUUAUUCCGCUUAUUGCUAAAUAGAAGAAAUACCAACCAUUAUAAAUAUUCCUUAAAAAAAACAUUAUAAACAUAUUGUUAGAGAUCAUUGUCACAACUCAGUAGUUAGUGUUACUCUAAGAUUUUUCAUGUAUCUGAGAAGUCUUCUCAGACAAUAAAGACUUUCUUAACACUUUUUUUAUGAGAAACACUUUUUUCUUAUGACAAAAAACUAGUAUUAAUACUUUUUUUUUUUAGCAAACUAGUAUUAACACUUGAAAAUGAAAUAGUUUUGUUUCAAACAUUUGAGGACAUGUGAAAUGAGUGUUCUUUUGACACUAUAAAUACCAUCAUAAGUUCCUGAAAUACCAAAUCCAUAAUGCCUUAGACCAGAUUAAGCAUGCAAAGUUGAGUGGUGAAAUCACAUUCAAUGUAUACAAAUCAACAUCAAAGCAACACAAAACAAUACAAUACAGUAUAAUACAAGAAUACAAAUUAAAGAGAUUAAAGUAGUUGUUCUUCACAUUAGAUAUUAUCAAAGAUAAUCCUCUCACUGUUUGGUGUUCAAGCAUUGGAAAAAGAAAGAAAGUAAUUUACUAUUAUAUAUCAUUUUGUAAGGUAAACAAAAAUAAAAAAUAAGUGUAACUAAUAUGACAUAUUCAUAUAAACUAUUGAACCGAAACUUACAGUGUAAGAGUGAACAAAAAUAAGGGAUUUUCAUGAAAAACCACUCCCCUCUCCCUCUUCAAAAUUUCCCUUGAAUUAAACAUCAAGAGAAAUUAAUAUCUAUAUAGUUUUGCAAAGAGCAAACUACUUUUAUUUACAUUUAUGAUGAUCAAAUGGGUAACCAUUCUGUCUUUCACUUGCAAAUCAAAUGCAGACACUGGAAGUGCGAGAUUCAAGAGUCGAUACCAUUUGUGCAGGAAAGGGACAGUGAAGAAAAAUGUAACAUGAAAUGCAACUCCAUCCUAGCCUUUGAAUCAAAAUAGGAACGACGGUGUAGUACAAAUAUAAAAAUCAACCAACAAAAACAAUGGCAACUCCAAUGUAUAUCAAAGUCAGGCUGGUAGCCUUUUUCCUGCAUGGCUUGCACGAGAUCUGACGCCUUCUUAAGAUUCUUUUCCAUGUGAUAACUUUUAAUUACAGUGCAAUACAUUUUCUCGUCGGUGUUUCACCUCCGUGGAUCAUGUCCACUAGGAAUUGUUCUGCUUGUUCUGUCCUCCCACGUUCGCAGAAGCUAAACACAAGCAUUUCGACUGUGUCGAUUCUUAGUUUGAAAGUCCAGUUUAGCAUUUCAUAAGAAAAAUUUGAAGCUGUGUCCAACUCAUUUUGUGCACAGAAUCCAUGAAUGAGAAAAUCAUAGCUCGUUGAAAUCGGAAUGUUGGAUUUCUUUAGCAUUAUGUUCAUAAGAUGAACUGCCUUCUUUAAUCUUCCAAACUCACAAAAACGCUUAAUCAAGUAAUUGUAAUCAAUAUUAUCGGGAGUUAGAGAUUCUUCUUUCAUCCUAUCCAAAAAACAUUCCGCAUUUUCCACAAAACCAAGGGAAAGAAGGCUUUCCAUGAUUCUUGUUUGGAUGAGAGAAUCAUGUUUCCAUCCUCUAUAUCCCAUUUCUCGACUCAAUUCCACAGCUUUUUGUAGUUUGCCGACAUCACACAGGCUGCUUAUUACCUUCCUUAAGCUUCGGUCACUUGGUUUGAUUCCUUUUGAAAUCAUGGUAGUAAGAUGAUGCAAAGAACUGGACAAAUCCUUACAUUGCAAGAAACCAUAGACAAGAUAGUUUUGACCAACUUCGUUGAGCACAAUUUUCUUCUCUUCCAUUUCAGUUAGUAUCUUCUUCACAUCCAACCGGUUUCCAAGUAUGGCCAUACAUACUUGGAAACUUUUAUUAGAAGAUUUUAAGUGAUCCAUUAUGUUGGGGGUUAUGGACAAUGGUCCCUUUGUCGGAUAUUAUUCACGUAGCUAUAGAAGCAAUGGUACAAGACAUUUGGGAAAGUUGUAUAAUGAGUGGCAGUUCAGGCCUAACAGUGUUUAGUAUUCAAUAUUGAUGCUGGUUGAAUACUUGAAGUGAUGAAUUUCGUUUAUGUAUGUAUGUGUUAUUUGAUGAUCUUCCUUGAGUAUUUGGGUUGUUCAUUGAGGUCAAAGUCUCCCUGCAUUAACUUUAGAGAUAGUUGGAUCAAUAUUUUCUUUGUGGCUUGUUACUGGCUUUGGAUUUAGAGGAAUGAUAGAAUCCGUGAAACCAAUUAUCAAGAGCAGUGGUUACAUCAUAUGUGCAUAAUAGAGAAAACUAAUCAAAUUAGGGAGUCUUUUAAAAAGAAUCAAAUUAAUGGUGAUCUCAACAGGAUUGCGAAACCAGACACUGGUUGGUUCAAGGUGAAUGUGGAUGGUGCUGGUGCGUCUAAAGGUAACCCAAGUCAAGCUGGUUAUAUGGGGUAUCAUUCGUGAUGAAAGUGGUCAGUGGUUUUAGUGCUCAUAUCGGUAAACCAUACAAAGUACGUUCAAAUGGUAGUAUUGGAAUAAGAGGAAAUGGCUCUUCUCCCAUCUAAUUUUGCUCAUUCCCGUCAAAAUAGCCGAGCGUGAGUUAACCCACACAGGUGUAUUGUCAGCGUGAGUUAACUCACGCAGAUGUAUCUCUCAGCAGGGAUGAGCAAAACCAGAUGGGAGAAGAGCAAUUCUCCAGAUUAAGCAUGCAUAGUUCAGUGGUGAAGUCACACUAAAUGAAUACAGAUCAAGACCAAAGCAAUGCAAUACAUUAUAAUACAAUACAAGAAUAAAAAUUAGAGAUUAAAGUAGUUGUCCUUCAUACUUGAAUACAUAUUUGCUCCCUGAUGACUAAGAACACAAUUCAGUUUAGGGCAAUGGAAAUGUCAAAGAUAAAUACAAAUUAUCUAGUUUUGUGAUCUCAUACUUGUUGUGUUAUUCGAUACAAAUUUUAGUACAUGUACAUGAUGCUUUUAGGAAAUUAAUUUCUACACUAACGGUGUAAAACUAUUUUACAUGACUAUUCAAUCAAAUCAUGUCAAAUAUAUAUUUUAUAAACUAACAUAUAAAAGUGGCAUCACAAAAAUGUUUGAUCGGAUGUAUAUAUAAAAAUGUUUUACCAAUAUUAGCGUGAACAAAUACAAUUCUUGUUUUUUGAGGGUCAAAACGUACUGGAGUUUGAUACAAGUCUAUAUCUAUGAGACUAUGACUAAUCAAAAUGUUCUCACCAGUUAUCAAAAGCCAAGAAUAUCAUCAAAAGUGAAACUAGCACACCAUAGAACUACAAAACUGUUCUUCAAAAUAGCCCGCAAAACAAAUAUUCAAAUUAGCAUCCAUCCUUUACAAUACUAUCAAUCACCAAGGUUUUAUCAAUACAAUUCAUGCAGCGAGACUUCGAUCUCACUGAACAACCCAAAAACUCAAGGUAGAUCAUCAAAUAACACAUGCAUAUGAUACAUAAACAAAAUUCGGCACUCUAAAUAUUGUUAGGCCUGAACUACCAUUCGUUACACAGCUUUCCCAGCUGCUUUGUAGCAUUGCUUCAAGAGCGACAUGAAUAAUAUCCGACAAAGGGACCAUUCUCUAUGACCCCCAACAUAAUGGAUCACUUGAUAUCUUCUAAUAAAAUUUACCAAAUAUGUGUGUCCAUACUUGCAUUGCAUCUGAACUCUGAAGGACUAUAACAACCAGGUUCCUGUAGAUCAAAUAGGGCCUGUAAGAAGCAAGAAGUCAAAUGAAUCUUGUAGAGAAUUAUGUUACCUACAUGUACACGACUCUCACAAAUGUACCAGAAGCUACAUUUUAACACAAGUCUCAUAAGUAAAAUUCAAGUGGGAGCAGGCAACUUGAACUCAGACUAAGCACCAGUAAAGUGGCGCAAUUUGUGAGUAACAGAGUUGUAUAGAUAACAAUAUACGCAAAAAAUCGUAUGAUCAACAAUAUAUCGUAGAAUAUUAUAAGUUAGUUUGUAUAAUUAUUUCAACAAGCAAUUAGUAAAAAAGAAAAACAAAAUGAGAUAAUCGUACUAAUGAUUGAAAUUUUUAUAUAACUUCACCAAAAAAUUAAAAUGAAUAUAUGUGCCUUAAAUAUUUCAUAAGUUCCCUUCAUUAGUCCGUCCAUGAAUAUCAAUAAAUGUACUGGUCUUUUUUUUGUUAGUCGGAAUUAUGGAAAAACUAUUACUUAUCUCAGUUGAGAAGUUCCUGUAAACUAGAUAAAUCAAAAUGGUCUUCUAUGGGACUCAGGAUCCCCAAAGGUUUUUAUUACAUGUUAGCAGCUAAGAAUUACCUCAGAAUGUGAACCUCCUAUAACCUAAAGUUAAUUCAAAUAGGUACUACAAGUACAAGUGACUAAUUAAGUGACGCAAAGAGACACACUUUCAGAGUAUCAGCAAGCAAUAUAAUCCUUACUAUAGAGCAUUCACUUAAGUAGAAACUACACACGAUCAUGUUAUUAUAUAUGAACAAUUUCUUUAUUUAGCCAAGAGACUUGUAAUUUAUGCUUUAAUAAUUAGUUAUAACCAAAGAGAUCUCGAAAACAGAAACAUAAAACAACAGGAAAAAAAAUAAAAAAUAAAACAAACCAAUUAUAAAUGUCUUGGUCUAACAGGUUUUCUUGUGCAAUCUACGAAGUCAACUUCUGCCGAGGGCGAAUUUUGACGCAAGAAGUCCACUAUCCCAUCAGGUACUGUUGGAGACGGUUCCGAUCCUGAUGCAUAUGCUUUUUUUAUCCUGGCAGCUUCUUUCUUUGACUUCACUGUCUUUAACUUGAACUCGCAUAGUGUCAAGCGAACUCCAUACAAAAUUUCAUCAAUUUCCACUUUCAGUGACUUC
This 14039-nucleotide long non-coding RNA is filed under the name Medicago truncatula (barrel medic). RNAcentral's name for it is "long non-coding RNA (MTRU_LNC000622)". Lineage: Eukaryota; Viridiplantae; Streptophyta; Magnoliopsida; Fabales; Fabaceae. The record is from RNAcentral.